GAGAGGCCGGCGGCGGGCGUGGAACUGUGGCGCUCUAAGCCCGGCUUUCUCCGGCAGCCGUCGGCAUCGCCUCUGGCUGGAGUGUCACGGACUGAUACAGCCUGGCUCUACCGAGACCUCGCCCUCUAGGCACAAGUGGGCCCCCAGUUCACGGGCUGCGCCUCAGCUGUUGGCCGCCUUGGCCCCGUGGCUCACCUGAAGCCUGGGCCGUGCAGGUGAGGGGAGAAUGGCGCCUGCUUUGUCAUCUCUAAGAGGCCCAAGCCCAGGAUCUUGCUUGGGUCCUCAGCUGGGCAGUCCUCAGGGAAACCAUGGUUUCCACUCGCCGUUUUAGCCCUCUCCCUUCCAAGGACCUAGAUGUGCGUAGAACCUUUUAGGACAGAUUCAUUUAACAACCAAAACACCCGUGGCUACAUACAGUUGCUAGGCAUCCUGUAUACACAGGACAUGUCCUAUAUUAAAUGAUCUUGUCCUGUGUUGACUUUGGGAGGACACCCUAAAUGUCUUAUAUUUAGCUUUUUCCAAUAAAUUACAAAAACUCGUAGUUACAGCUAUUUUUCUGCUCAGUAACUGGCACUUAAAUAAAAUGUUAACACCAGCUGAAAUAUAUAUAUCUCAUACUUCCAUAAAUAAUGAUCUGGACAGACCUUUAUGGUCUGUUCUGUUAGUUGGACUGCAGGAAGAAAAAACAGUGAAGAGGGGAGGCUGCUAAUUAAAAGAACUUACUUUUCAUAUUCAGGAAAGGAAAAGACUGUUUUUUGACCAAAGUCCCAAGUCACUAACAAGUACUUGCCAUUAAUUUACAUAAUUUUAGAUCAGUACACGUACUCUGAAAAUCAACCAGUACACAACAGCCUCACUCCAAGCUUCUGAACAUGAGCCAGUCAGUGAUAAACACUUCCCGAAGCCAGCCAGUGGCAGCUCUACCCAGCUCAUUGGCAAGUACCUCACUACUGUGCCCUUCCUUCUGGACAGGAGCCUUUCUCCAGUAUCAAAGUGGUUGCUAAGAUGGACAGACUUUGUUUUUUUUUUUUUUGCUUGUUUUUU
This 1044-nucleotide long non-coding RNA is filed under the name Homo sapiens (human). RNAcentral's name for it is "non-protein coding lnc-ULK4-15:2". The record is from RNAcentral. Lineage: Eukaryota; Metazoa; Chordata; Mammalia; Primates; Hominidae.